This 206-nucleotide long non-coding RNA is filed under the name Elaeis guineensis (African oil palm). Its description in RNAcentral is "long non-coding RNA (EGUI_LNC002873)". Lineage: Eukaryota; Viridiplantae; Streptophyta; Magnoliopsida; Arecales; Arecaceae. The record is from RNAcentral.
GUGUGUAUAUAUAUAGGCAACUCUUGUUCACUUUGGCAAAGACUAGAAUUAUUAUCCUUACCAAUUUAAACUACCCAUAUUCCUAUUCUUAUCUUACUUUCCACUUAUUUGAGUUUAUCUUCAUCACUUCUUUUAGUGUUUUAGUAAGAUGUGACUUCAUCAACUAAUAUUCAUAAGUGUGAAAAAUCAAAAACAGUACAAAAAGG